This 731-nucleotide ribosomal RNA is filed under the name uncultured marine bacterium. RNAcentral's name for it is "bacterial SSU rRNA". It matches the Rfam family "Bacterial small subunit ribosomal RNA", at positions 14 to 794 of the family's 1533-position model. The record is from RNAcentral.
UGAUCCUGGCUCAGAACGAACGCUGGCGGCAGGCCUAACACAUGCAAGUCGAGCGCGCCUUCGGGUGAGCGGCGGACGGGUUAGUAACGCGUGGGAACGUGCCCUUCUCUACGGAAUAGCCUCUGGAAACGGAGAGUAAUACCGUAUACGCCCUUUGGGGGAAAGAUUUAUCGGAGAAGGAUCGGCCCGCGUUAGAUUAGGUAGUUGGUGGGGUAACGGCCUACCAAGCCUACGAUCUAUAGCUGGUUUUAGAGGAUGAUCAGCAACACUGGGACUGAGACACGGCCCAGACUCCUACGGGAGGCAGCAGUGGGGAAUCUUAGACAAUGGGGGCAACCCUGAUCUAGCCAUGCCGCGUGAGUGAUGAAGGCCUUAGGGUCGUAAAGCUCUUUCGCCUGUGAUGAUAAUGACAGUAGCAGGUAAAGAAACCCCGGCUAACUCCGUGCCAGCAGCCGCGGUAAUACGGAGGGGGUUAGCGUUGUUCGGAAUUACUGGCGUAAAGCGCGCGUAGGCGGAUUAGAAAGUUGGGGGUGAAAUCCCGGGGCUCAACCCCGGAACUGCCUCCAAAACUGCUAGUCUAGAGUUCGAGAGAGGUGAGUGGAAUUCCGAGUGUAGAGGUGAAAUUCGUAGAUAUUCGGAGGAACACCAGUGGCGAAGGCGGCUCACUGGCUUGAUACUGACGCUGAGGUGCGAAAGUGUGGGGAGCAAACAGGAUUAGAUACCCUGGUAGU